Molecule: ribosomal RNA, 468 nt
Filed under: uncultured bacterium
Lineage: Bacteria
Description: partial 16S ribosomal RNA
Rfam family: Bacterial small subunit ribosomal RNA
Source: RNAcentral
GACGAACGCUGGCGGCGUGCUUAACACAUGCAAGUCGAACGGAAAGGCCCUGCUUUUGUGGGGUGCUCGAGUGGCGAACGGGUGAGUAACACGUGAGUAACCUGCCCUUGACUUUGGGGUAACUUCAGGAAACUGGGGCUAAUACCGCAUAGGAGCUCCUGCUGCGUGGGGGGGGUUGGAAAGUUUCGGCGGUUGGGGAUGGACUCGCGGCUUAUCAGCUUGUUGGUGGGGUAGUGGCUUACCAAGGCUUUGACGGGUAGCCGGCCUGAGAGGGUGACCGGCCACAUUGGGACCGCGAUACGGCCCAGACUCUUACGGGAGGCAGCAGUGGGGAAUAUUGCACAAUGGGCGGAAGCCUGAUGCAGCAACGCCGCGUGCGGGAUGACGGCCUUCUGGUUGUAAACCGCUUUCGCCUGUGACGAAGCGUGAGUGACGGUAAUGGGUAAAGAAGCACCGGCUAACUACGUG